GACGAACGCUGGCGGCGUGCCUAAUACAUGCAAGUCGAGCGAGGUUGUUUGGAAUGCUUGCAUUUCAAACAACCUAGCGGCGGACGGGUGAGUAACACGUGGGCAACCUGCCCUGUAGACUGGGAUAACUUCGGGAAACCGGAGCUAAUACCGGAUAAUUCUUUUAGCCUCAUGGCUUUAAGCUAAAAGGCGCUUCGGCGUCACUACAGGAUGCGCCCGCGGUGCAUUAGCUAGUUGGUGGGGUAACGGCCUACCAAGGCAACGAUGCAUAGCCGACCGGAGAGGGGGAUCGGGCACAUUGGGACUGGGACACGGCCCAAACUCCUACGGGAGGCAGCAGUAGGGAAUGUUCCACAAUGGACGAAAGUCUGAUGGAGCAACGCCGCGUGAGUGAUGAAGGUUUUCGGAUCGUAAAACUCUGUCGUAAGGGAAGAACAAGUGCGUUAGGUAAUGAACGCACCUUGACGGUACCUUAUUAGAAAGCCACGGCUAACUACGUGCCAGCCGCCGCAGUAA
Molecule: ribosomal RNA, 516 nt
Filed under: uncultured bacterium
Lineage: Bacteria
Description: partial 16S ribosomal RNA
Rfam family: Bacterial small subunit ribosomal RNA
Source: RNAcentral